This 1343-nucleotide ribosomal RNA is filed under the name uncultured bacterium. RNAcentral describes it as "16S ribosomal RNA". It matches the Rfam family "Bacterial small subunit ribosomal RNA", at positions 28 to 1378 of the family's 1533-position model. The record is from RNAcentral.
GACGAACGCUGGCGGCGUGCUUAACACAUGCAAGUCGAACGGAAAGGCCCUGCUUUUGUGGGGUGCUCGAGUGGCGAACGGGUGAGUAACACGUGAGUAACCUGCCCUUGACUUUGGGAUAACUUCAGGAAACUGGGGCUAAUACCGGAUAGGAGCUCCUGCUGCAUGGUGGGGGUUGGAAAGUUUCGGCGGUUGGGGAUGGACUCGCGGCUUAUCAGCUUGUUGGUGGGGUAGUGGCUUACCAAGGCUUUGACGGGUAGCCGGCCUGAGAGGGUGACCGGCCACAUUGGGACUGAGAUACGGCCCAGACUCCUACGGGAGGCAGCAGUGGGGAAUAUUGCACAAUGGGCGGAAGCCUGAUGCAGCAACGCCGCGUGCGGGAUGACGGCCUUCGGGUUGUAAACCGCUUUCGCCUGUGACGAAGCGUGAGUGACGGUAAUGGGUAAAGAAGCACCGGCUAACUACGUGCCAGCAGCCGCGGUGAUACGUAGGGCGCGAGCGUUGUCCGGAUUUAUUGGGCGUAAAGGGCUCGUAGGUGGUUGAUCGCGUCGGAAGUGUAAUCUUGGGGCUUAACCCUGAGCGUGCUUUCGAUACGGGUUGACUUGAGGAAGGUAGGGGAGAAUGGAAUUCCUGGUGGAGCGGUGGAAUGCGCAGAUAUCAGGAGGAACACCAGUGGCGAAGGCGGUUCUCUGGGCCUUUCCUGACGCUGAGGAGCGAAAGCGUGGGGAGCGAACAGGCUUAGAUACCCUGGUAGUCCACGCUGUAAACGGUGGGUACUAGGUGUGGGGUCCAUUCCACGGGUUCCGUGCCGUAGCUAACGCUUUAAGUACCCCGCCUGGGGAGUACGGCCGCAAGGCUAAAACUCAAAGGAAUUGACGGGGCCCCGCACAAGCGGCGGAGCAUGCGGAUUAAUUCGAUGCAACGCGUAGAACCUUACCUGGGUUUGACAUGGAUCGGGAGUGCUCAGAGAUGGGUGUGCCUCUUUUGGGGUCGGUUCACAGGUGGUGUAUGGCUGCCGUCAGCUCGUGUCGUGAGAUGUUGGGUUAAGUCCCGCAACGAGCGCAACCCUUGUUCACUGUUGCCAGCACGUUAUGGUGGGGACUCAGUGGAGACCGCCGGGGUCAACUCGGAGGAAGGUGGGGAUGACGUCAAGUCAUCAUGCCCCUUAUGUCCAGGGCUUCACGCAUGCUACAAUGGCUGGUACAGAGAGUGGCGAGCCUGUGAGGGUGAGCGAAUCUCGGAAAGCCGGUCUCAGUUCGGAUUGGGGUCUGCAACUCGACCUCAUGAAGUCGGAGUCGCUAGUAAUCGCAGAUCAGCAACGCUGCGGUGAAUACGUUCCCGGG